UGGGGAAUAUUGGACAAUGGGGGCAACCCUGAUCCAGCCAUGCCGCGUGUGUGAAGAAGGCCUUUUGGUUGUAAAGCACUUUAAGCAGUGAAGAAGACUCCAUGGUUAAUACCCAUGGACGAUGACAUUAGCUGCAGAAUAAGCACCGGCUAACUCUGUGCCAGCAGCCGCGGUAAUACAGAGGGUGCAAGCGUUAAUCGGAAUUACUGGGCGUAAAGCGAGCGUAGGUGGCUUGAUAAGUCAGAUGUGAAAGCCCCGGGCUCAACCUGGGAACGGCAUCUGAUACUGUUAGGCUAGAGUAGGUGAGAGGAAGGUAGAAUUCCAGGUGUAGCAGUGAAAUGCGUAGAGAUCUGGAGGAAUACCGAUGGCGAAGGCAGCCUUCUGGCAUCAUACUGACACUGAGGUUCGAAAGCGUGGGUAGCAAACA
This 427-nucleotide ribosomal RNA is filed under the name uncultured bacterium. RNAcentral's name for it is "partial 16S ribosomal RNA". It matches the Rfam family "Bacterial small subunit ribosomal RNA", at positions 355 to 774 of the family's 1533-position model. The record is from RNAcentral.